RNAcentral lists this ribosomal RNA (605 nucleotides) under Alcaligenes sp. RNAcentral's name for it is "bacterial SSU rRNA". It matches the Rfam family "Bacterial small subunit ribosomal RNA", at positions 31 to 624 of the family's 1533-position model. The record is from RNAcentral. Lineage: Bacteria; Pseudomonadati; Pseudomonadota; Betaproteobacteria; Burkholderiales; Alcaligenaceae.
GAACGCUAGCGGGAUGCCUUACACAUGCAAGUCGAACGGCAGCGGGAAAGUAGCUUGCUACUUUUGCCGGCGAGUGGCGAACGGGUGAGUAAUGUAUCGGAACGUGCCCAGUAGCGGGGGAUAACUACGCGAAAGCGUGGCUAAUACCGCAUACGNCCUACGGGGGAAAGGGGGGGAUCUUAGGACCUCUCACUAUUGGAGCGGCCGAUAUCGGAUUAGCUAGUUGGUGGGGUAAAGGCCUACCAAGGCGACGAUCCGUAGCUGGUUUGAGAGGACGACCAGCCACACUGGGACUGAGACACGGCCCAGACUCCUACGGGAGGCAGCAGUGGGGAAUUUUGGACAAUGGGGGAAACCCUGAUCCAGCCAUCCCGCGUGUGCGAUGAAGGCUUCGGGUUGUAAAGCACUUUUGUCAGGGAAGAAAAGGUUUCGGAUAAUACCCGGAACUGAUGACGGUACCUGAAGAAUAAGCACCGGCUAACUACGUGCCAGCAGCCGCGGUAAUACGUAGGGUGCAAGCGUUAAUCGGAAUUACUGGGCGUAAAGCGUGCGCAGGCGGUUCGGAAAGAAAGAUGUGAAAUCCCAGGGCUCAACCUUGGAACUGC